UACGUAGGGUGCGAGCGUUGUCCGGAAUUAUUGGGCGUAAAGAGCUCGUAGGCGGUGUGUCGCGUCGGCCGUGAAAACUUGCAGCUUAACUGUGGGCGUGCGGUCGAUACGGGCAUCACUGGAGUUCGGCAGGGGAGACUGGAAUUCCCGGUGUAGUGGUGAAAUGCGUAGAUAUCGGGAGGAACACCAGUGGCGAAGGCGACUUCCUGGCCUGUUCUUGACGCUGAGGCGCGAAAGCUAGGGGAGCAAACGGG
Molecule: ribosomal RNA, 254 nt
Filed under: uncultured bacterium
Lineage: Bacteria
Description: partial 16S ribosomal RNA
Rfam family: Bacterial small subunit ribosomal RNA
Source: RNAcentral